CGCAAAGUGCCCAUUGCUUCUC
This 22-nucleotide non-coding RNA is filed under the name Arabidopsis thaliana (thale cress). The record is from RNAcentral. Lineage: Eukaryota; Viridiplantae; Streptophyta; Magnoliopsida; Brassicales; Brassicaceae.